This 1857-nucleotide long non-coding RNA is filed under the name Carassius auratus (goldfish). RNAcentral describes it as "lncRNA (ENSCARG00000026751.1)". Lineage: Eukaryota; Metazoa; Chordata; Actinopteri; Cypriniformes; Cyprinidae. The record is from RNAcentral.
AAAAAAAACUGACAUGCAGAGAAUAGGCCGUUCUUCUCUCUGGGGAAACAGAUCCUAGAGUCUCACCGUGUGUCUGUCAGGUCUGUCAGUAAGGCCUGUUUUAUCAGGUCACAUUGCCAUGUAUAAUGGAUGUUACUGUGGCAACCUGACAGGAUGAGAUGCUUUGUCUCUCUCUUUUCCUGCAUAUGAGAACUGAGCAGUGAAUUCUGAAGGGUCCUUCUAGCUCCGAGCUGUGCUUUCAGGCCGCUUCACUCCAUCAAACAGCUGAUAAAAUGGUCCGGGGAGAGCGAGAGAGACAGACUGCUGUGCCUGACGUGGAUACCGGGGCUUGUGAAACUGACCAGAUAAACUCCAUGAAAGUCAAUGGGAUCCUUUUUUUUCCGGACUGCGUAUAUGGACAAAAACUGUUUAAACACCGUAGAGAAUAUCUUCUUUUGUGUUCUACAGAAGAAACAAAGUCAUGCAGGUUUGAAAUCACAUGGGGGACAUAAAUGGUUUUGGACAUGUACUAUGGUAAAACGCCUGAAACUUUGACACCAUGUCAAGAAGACUAAUGAACUGUGUAGUAUCUCUUUAUGCGUAACGAUGGGUGUCCAUCAAAUUAACGCAAGACUUAACUCCUCUGAACAAAGUACAUCCCUGUCUUUUAAGACAGAAACAGGUGGGUCGGGGGAUUUGCUUCACGUACUGUGAAAGCAGACGUGGCUUUUCAUGUUUUUCAUCUCUUUCUCUCCCCUUUUUGCCUUUCAAUGCAUUCUUUUUCUCCCUCUCUCACUAAACAGACAACAAGCCCUCACCACCUCCGAGAACGCAGGGUAUGAUGCACUCUAAAAAACGCUGGGUUGUUUUUUUCAACCCAACUGCUGGGUUGAGGCCGUUGGAUAGGACUUUGGGAUGUUUUAACCCAAGUUUGGGUUGAAAAUAAGGUUUAAAAAAAAAAAGUUUAACCCAGCGGGUCUGGGUUGAGGACGCGGACGUGAAGGAGAGCACGCACGUCACGUCAAGAUCGUACGUCUCCAGUGCGAGCAGCCGCCAUUUUCUCAGCGUGAUAGAAGCGAGAAGCGAGUGAAAGACUAUGGUAAGUAAAUAUUUAAAAUGUAAAGUUAUCUUUUAUUGUUUACCAGGUUGUAUGAAAGGCGGAAUGUUUUAUGAAAGGCGGAAACAAAGGAGCUUAACGUUAUAUAUAUAUAUAUAUAUUUAAAAAAAAACGGACGCGGUUUUCGCCUCAGACACGGAGGUCUUAACUGCCUCAUGUAACGGUACUGAACGGAGGAUGUACUUUUAAUAUAACGUCUGUGAAUGUAUUUUGUCAUAUUUACAUAAGAUUUAACAUUAUCUGUACUUUUUGAGGCGUUAACAGACGGUUAUGGUCACGGUUACGCUCAUGUGAAUUUGUCUUUUUUUUUCGCGGUUAAACUGAAUGUAUGUUUGUCUCCUAAAGGAAACGGCAUUGUGUAGUAAAGACUAGCAUAAUUAUUUUGAGGCUGUUGAAGUGGUAACUGUUAAAAGUAUGUUUUACAUGUAAUAUUUCAGACUUGUCAAGCUUGUGUCUUCAUUGUCCUCGCGCUGAGAGUUAAAGACACAGAAGCUGUUUGUGUGAGGAGUCACAGACCUGUGUGAGGAUGAGGAGGAGGUGUUUUUCUGAAGAGAGGGACAGACGGUUUAAGGAGAGUAAACUUCAGAAUAACAUCAAGUUAUCUUUAUUUUUACUAAGACUAAAAUAAUGUUGUUGUUUUUUUUAGAUGUUGCAAUCCAGAGACAAGAUAACUUCAUUCUUUUGAGACUGAUGUAAGUUAAGUUAUUAUUACUUUUUUUUUUUAGAAAAUUAAUGUUUAUGUUGUGUCCUGCCUGUUAACU